This is a non-coding RNA of Delphinapterus leucas (beluga whale), 2922 nucleotides long. The record is from RefSeq and is a predicted model, not a curated record. Lineage: Eukaryota; Metazoa; Chordata; Mammalia; Artiodactyla; Monodontidae.
GGAGAGACCCCAUGGCCCGCCGCGCCUUUGUGGGAGUGGAAGUCGUUUGGCAGGUGGUGACCGAGGCUUUAGGUUAGGAAGUCUGUGGAUGGGGCAGAAGACACUGGUCGUUGUCCGUAUUGGGCCAGUCAAGGGAGAGGUCAAUGUUCAACCCAAAAGAAUGACGCAAGAAUGCCAAAGUAUCAGGCAUUAUUUUCAUUCCUGGAGCCUUGUUACUACGAGUCCUAGACGGAUUCUCCGUUACAAAUGAACCAGGAGAGCUUAAAAGCAGACAAACCAACCAACCAAACAAGCAAAAUUAGCCAAGAAAGAACAAUUUGCAACGUUCUACUACUGUCUGGAGAACAGAGUCCGCUUGUCAAGAAAGCUAAGAACGCCAACACACGGGGACAGUAGACUGCAGAUUUCUCACAGCUUGUGUCCUACAGUGUAACUUCACAAGAGGGAAGGAGGGAGUAACCUGCACCCCGUGGCCAGCUCAGGAUGGAGGCUGCACAGGCACAGAGGAAGAGGGAGCCAUACUGCCAGACACACCUGGUGGGCAGAGAAGGUUCUUCUCCAGCCUUGGCCUGCAUCUCCCUCCUACCUUCUUGGCCGCACCCCCAGCCUCUCAAGCUCCUUCAGCAGACAAAGCCUUCAGCUCAUUAGCUUUUAUGCUGGAGAGGGUUGAGGGUGGGGCAAGAACCAGGAGCAAGUAAACUAAGGGGAGGGGAGAGAAUAGUAGUCCUUGAGUUUUUGUGAAUGACACCUUCACUGUAAACAAUAGGAAGGAGAGUCAACCAGGCAGCCCCAAGGGUAAGCAGUGGAGGACCAGUGGCUCUGGGACCUGCUCAGAGCCUCAGGCAGGUAGGGGCAGCCACUGACCCACUGGGCCCUGGCUGCCCGCACUGGCUCCUUCUGGGGGCAUCUGUUUUUCUUCUUUUUGGUUUGGAUCUCCACCCUCCCCCACAGAGGAGUCCCUUCCAAUGAGAAAUGGCAGGAGCUGCGGGUGCAAUCGAGUCAGAGUCCCCAGGGCCUGAGGACUCCUGGGAGGCACGGGUCACUUGUGGCGCUGAGCAGUCUUCUUCCUUUUCCUCUUAAAGAAGCAGCAGCACCUGGAGCACAAGGAAGACCACAAGUCAGUGCGGGAGGCCCGCAGCUGCCAACAGAUUUCUGCCUGCCUCUGCUUAUUGCAGGGGUGGAACUUCCCCCUGGCACCCACCCACAGGGUCGCCCGCCAUCUACAGUGCACAUACUGGAGGCAGUGGGCAGUGUCUGCCAGGAAAGCCAAAGGAGAGAGCUGCUUUAUUCCAAACCUAAUCGUCAAAGUGCUGCAGGCUAGGCAGCAGGGCGGAAGCAGGCAUUUUUGGAAGAAGGAUGUAGAAGGCUUAUUUCUCAGUCUAACACCCCAACCUGAAAGUCUCAUCCUCCUUUAUACUGAACCAAGGCUGGGGGUCCUCAGGGCUGCAUGAGAAGAGCCUGCACUGUGUGCCCCUUCAUACAGAGGGCAAAAUUAUUUAAUGCAACUUCGGAGGUCAGUGGGUAUGGAGGCUAAACUAAGGCAAACAAAUGCCAAGAAAAGUAUGAUGUUUGGAACUCUAGGAGGCUCUCACAUGCUACCAAUGAAAGGAUUAAGGGUUCUCUCUAAUCUCAUCCCUGCCCCCAGCCAGCUAGCUCCCUGGCGUAGGCAGGAGAAGCCCUGACCCUAAUUGUGUGAGCCAGGAUCUUUUAACUGAAAUCAGCAUAGCCUACUCUUCAUUUGGAGAGGAUCAAUGCCACAGUUGAUCACCAGGAAGCAUCGGGUUGCAGGGUCCUCCUCGACUUAAGCUUCCCGAGGCUGCUGCUGUGCCAGACUGGGUUCAAGGACUGACCCUGCUUAGGGUGGGGCUGAGGCCUGAUGCCUUCAACAGCCACAGCUCUGCCACAGCCUUUAGCUCGGGUACCUGCUCUGUACUGCUGUCUUUGGAACAGGAAGCCCCUCUUGCUCAGGCAGCGACUAUUCCAGAAGGGGGUGAUGAGGGCUGUGGCAUGGCUGGUGCAAAAGAUAUGUCCUUUCCAGGAAGCUGACACAUGGGAAAUGAGAAUGUGAGGGGCAGAAAGUGGUGGAUGAGUCAAAGAUGCCAUGUGAUGGAAGGGAGUAAACUGGAAGUGUCACUCAGACUUGCUGGAUCCUUGAAACGAAAGCUUUUCUCAGAAACUAUCUUUGGGUCUUUUGCCUAAUCCUUCUGGGUUUAAUGUCAAAAAUAUUCAUACAGAAAUAAAGAGCUGUUGCUUACUUCCGCAUACCCCUAAGUCCUCCACUGUAGCUAAGAUUCCCCCCUUUUUUAGUCAGACCCUUUUGUAUUCCCACACCCCAUGGACUAGUUAUCAAAAACUUGGAGAAAGUGUCUUCUUAGAAUGCAGAAAUAGAUGUUUACACAGACAAAAUGAUGGGCUUUAACCAUAACUGAAUGAAUUAAACAUGGAGAUGUUGGAAACAGGAGGUUCUUAAGAGAGUCUUAAAAAAGAUUUUCUAAGAGUAUAAUGACCUAUGUGAUGUACUAUUAAAUGGGUGUCAAUAUAGUCACUAAACAAAGUGUCCUUUGUAUUUAGAGGCUGAAUAAAUUCUUUUAAGUAAAAAUGACCAACACUUUUGAUUGUUUUCAGUCCUUAAGGGAAUCCCUGGGGAAGGAUUUUAAAAAAAGGUCAUUUUUUGUACAUAUGCUUUAGAAAACAGACAUUCUUUCAAGCUGAAUGUCCAGAAAUUAUUAAAUAAGGUGAAUUAAAUCUCAUGGGAGUACCAGUACUUCAAUAGAGCUAGCUACCUGUUCCCUGUUAACCAUGAUUUUCAGAGGGAUCACUAACAUUUAAGUCAGUUUUUAUUCUUAUGCUUUUUGGAGGAUGCUAAGAUGAUGAUUUUGUGUUUUUACGUUAAGAACAAUCAUUAAAAAGUUUGAAAUACUG